Molecule: ribosomal RNA, 739 nt
Filed under: uncultured bacterium
Lineage: Bacteria
Description: bacterial SSU rRNA
Rfam family: Bacterial small subunit ribosomal RNA
Source: RNAcentral
GGGGAAUAUUGGACAAUGGGCGAAAGCCUGAUCCAGCCAUGCCGCGUGUGUGAAGAAGGCCUUUUGGUUGUAAAGCACUUUAAGCGAGGAGGAGGCUACUUGGAUUAAUACUCUAGGAUAGUGGACGUUACUCGCAGAAUAAGCACCGGCUAACUCUGUGCCAGCAGCCGCGGUAAUACAGAGGGUGCGAGCGUUAAUCGGAUUUACUGGGCGUAAAGCGUGCGUAGGCGGCUUUUUAAGUCGGAUGUGAAAUCCCUGAGCUUAACUUAGGAAUUGCAUUCGAUACUGGGAAGCUAGAGUAUGGGAGAGGAUGGUAGAAUUCCAGGUGUAGCGGUGAAAUGCGUAGAGAUCUGGAGGAAUACCGAUGGCGAAGGCAGCCAUCUGGCCUAAUACUGACGCUGAGGUACGAAAGCAUGGGGAGCAAACAGGAUUAGAUACCCUGGUAGUCCAUGCCGUAAACGAUGUCUACUAGCCGUUGGGGCCUUUGAGGCUUUAGUGGCGCAGCUAACGCGAUAAGUAGACCGCCUGGGGAGUACGGUCGCAAGACUAAAACUCAAAUGAAUUGACGGGGGCCCGCACAAGCGGUGGAGCAUGUGGUUUAAUUCGAUGCAACGCGAAGAACCUUACCUGGUCUUGACAUAGUAAGAACUUUCCAGAGAUGGAUUGGUGCCUUCGGGAACUUACAUACAGGUGCUGCAUGGCUGUCGUCAGCUCGUGUCGUGAGAUGUUGGGUUAAGUC